UACGUAGGGGGCUAGCGUUGUCCGGAAUCAUUGGGCGUAAAGCGCGCGUAGGCGGCCCGGUAAGUCCGUUGUGAAAGUCAAAGGCUCAACCUUUGAAAGCCGAUGGAUACUGCCGGGCUGGAGUCCGGAAGAGGCGAGUGGAAUUCCUGGUGUAGCGGUGGAAUGCGCAGAUAUCAGGAGGAACACCAAUAGCGAAGGCAGCUCGCUGGGACGGUACUGACGCUGAGGCGCGAAAGCGAGGGGAGCGAACAGG
RNAcentral lists this ribosomal RNA (253 nucleotides) under uncultured bacterium. Its description in RNAcentral is "partial 16S ribosomal RNA". It matches the Rfam family "Bacterial small subunit ribosomal RNA", at positions 524 to 776 of the family's 1533-position model. The record is from RNAcentral.